RNAcentral lists this ribosomal RNA (450 nucleotides) under uncultured bacterium. Its description in RNAcentral is "partial 16S ribosomal RNA". It matches the Rfam family "Bacterial small subunit ribosomal RNA", at positions 354 to 796 of the family's 1533-position model. The record is from RNAcentral.
GUGGGGAAUCUUCCGCAAUGGACGAAAGUCUGACGGAGCGACGCCGCGUGAGUGAAGAAGGCCUUCGGGUCGUAAAGCUCUGUCAUCAGGGACGAACGGCCGGUGGAGUGGAAAGCCACCGGAUUGACGGUACCUGAGAAGGAAGCCACGGCUAACUACGUGCCAGCAGCCGCGGUAAUACGUAGGUGGCAAGCGUUGUCCGGAAUUAUUGGGCGUAAAGCGCGCGCAGGUGGGAUCUUAAGUCCAUUUUUAAAGUUCGGAGCUCAACUCCGUGAUGGGAUGGAAACUGGGAUUCUUGAGUACCGGAGAGGAAAGCGGAAUUCCCCGUGUAGCGGUGAAAUGCGUAGAUAUGGGGAGGAACACCAGUGGCGAAGGCGGCUUUCUGGACGGUGUCUGACACUGAGGCGCGAAAGCGUGGGGAGCAAACAGGAUUAGAUACCCGGGUAGUCC